This 245-nucleotide ribosomal RNA is filed under the name uncultured bacterium. Its description in RNAcentral is "partial 16S ribosomal RNA". It matches the Rfam family "Bacterial small subunit ribosomal RNA", at positions 796 to 1041 of the family's 1533-position model. The record is from RNAcentral.
CACGCCGUAAACGAUGGAUACUAGCUGUUGGAUCGUGAGGUUCAGUGGCUAAGCAAAAGUGAUAAGUAUCCCACCUGGGGAGUACGUUCGCAAGAAUGAAACUCAAAGGAAUUGACGGGGACCCGCACAAGCGGUGGAUGAUGUGGUUUAAUUCGAUGCAACGCGAAAAACCUUACCCACCUUUGACAUGUACGGAAUCCUUUAGAGAUAGAGGAGUGCUCGAAAGAGAGCCGUAACACAGGUGC